This 1039-nucleotide long non-coding RNA is filed under the name Cottoperca gobio. RNAcentral's name for it is "lncRNA (ENSCGOG00000021581.1)". Lineage: Eukaryota; Metazoa; Chordata; Actinopteri; Perciformes; Bovichtidae. The record is from RNAcentral.
GUAUCAUUAUCAUUAUCAUUAUAUUGAUAGCUGUGCAAUAAUUUCCAGCAUGGGAGGUGAUUGUGACGAGACAACUAGGUCAGGACGACGUGAAGAUGUUGUCGCACAUCACUGCAACGUUUUCUGUGGCGCUGUGUGUGAAGUCUGAAGGGUCCGCUGUGUGCCAAAUCACUGACACACACAUCAUGCAUUUGGAGAAACAUAAAGCUGUGGACUUGAACCUGACAGGGCAACUAUGCAACACAUGUCUCCAGGUGAAGAGGCUCGAUGUGAAGUAUGCAGCCACAGUCCUUCACUGUCUUGAGCAAUGCGAAGAAUCCCCGUACGUCAGACCUGUCGUCAUCAGACAACCCUCUUGGGACUUGACUUGGGUUGUUGUACCUGCGGGCGUUUGCCUCUCUGGCAUCAUUACUAUCACUCUGGUGCUGCACGUACUGUUAACCGUGUAUGAGAGGAGGAAACUAAAAAGAAAUGGAGGCUAUAUCUCUGAAAAGCAAAUAGGUAAGAUAAUCACAAUUGUAUUGACUACAUCGCAUGUGCAUUUUCAAAGACCUGAAACGUGAGUGUAAUCCUGUGUUUUGACAGAUCCUGCUUUUGACUGCGUGGUCCCUGUAUUACAAUCUCAACCUGCUGUCCACGGAGGGGUCCUCAUACCUGAUUCACCAAAGUGUGGGAACACGGAGAAGACCAAUUUACUCUCUGACUGAGCGAAGAGCAGCGCUCCCGUCAAAAGCAUUACUUGUAAUGUGAUGUAUACAACUGUACAAACCAAAUGUGUUCUCUGUUAAAUGCAGCGUUCAAUGUUGGGACAGAUAUUACAAAUGUUAUAUAUAUUACUGGAUCUUUGCUGGUUGGUGUACUUGUUGUAUUUGAUGUUGUCUGGGAGAAAGCUAACAUGUAUAUUGUCAUUUUUUUUUAAAGUUCAAAUUCAGCUUGCAGCAACAGUUGGAUCCUAACUAAUAUUUAUAUUUUCAAUAAAAAUAUAAAAGCGAAACAUGAAAAAAACUACUUUUUUACAUGACAGAUGUGAAAAAGCAAA